GAAGGUGCACAUUGCCUCGAUACCUAUGGAUGCCUCCAUAUGCAAAUUGCACCUUAUAAAGGAUAUUUAUUUUUAAUACAAGGAGGUCAUGGAUAGAGCAAGAUGGUGGACUAAGAUUCAUGUAGUCGGUCUCAAAUGGUUGAAAAAAAAGGUAUGAUGAUGAUAAUAAUAAGAAGUUCAUAAUCACUUUUAUUGUUAGAUAUUGAAUUGAACGACUGUAAACAUGUCAUUGACUAGACUUA
This 242-nucleotide long non-coding RNA is filed under the name Amborella trichopoda. RNAcentral's name for it is "long non-coding RNA (ATRI_LNC001534)". Lineage: Eukaryota; Viridiplantae; Streptophyta; Magnoliopsida; Amborellales; Amborellaceae. The record is from RNAcentral.